CAAGCAGCGGAGCGUGUGGUUAAUUCGAUGCUACACGAAGAACCUUACCUGGGUUUGACAUAGAGGUAGUAGGGAAGCGAAAGCGGACCGACCCUUCGGGGAGCCUCUACAGGUGUUGCAUGGCUGUCGUCAGCUCGUGUCGUGAGAUGUUCGGUUAAGUCCGCUAACGAGCGCAACCCUCGCUGUGUGUUACAAGUGUCACACGGUACUGCCGAUAUUAAGUCGGAGGAAGGUGGGGAUGACGUCAAGUCAGCAUGACCUUUAUAUCCAGGGCUACACACACGCUACAAUGGCCAGUACAAUGGGUUGCCAAGCCGCGAGGCGGAGCCAAUCCUAAAAAGCUGGCCUCAGUUCAGAUUGCAGUCUGCAACUCGACUGCAUGAAGUUGGAGUUGCUAGUAACCGCAGGUCAGCAAUACUGCGGUGAAUACGUUCCCGGGGAUU
RNAcentral lists this ribosomal RNA (443 nucleotides) under uncultured Anaerolineaceae bacterium. RNAcentral's name for it is "bacterial SSU rRNA". It matches the Rfam family "Bacterial small subunit ribosomal RNA", at positions 926 to 1378 of the family's 1533-position model. The record is from RNAcentral. Lineage: Bacteria; Bacillati; Chloroflexota; Anaerolineae; Anaerolineales; Anaerolineaceae.